GGGGGGGGCAAGCGUUGUUCGGAAUUACUGGGCGUAAAGGGCGCGUAGGCGGUUUGUUAAGUUGGAUGUGAAAACUGUGGGCUCAACCCAUAGCCUGCAUCCAAUACUGACAGGCUAGAGUUCUGGAGGGGAUAGCGGAAUUCCUGGUGUAGCGGUGAAAUGCGUAGAUAUCAGGAGGAACACCGGUGGCGAAGGCGGCUAUCUGGACAGAGUCUGACGCUGAGGCGCGAAAGCUAGGGGAGCAAACAGGAUUAGAUACCCUGGUAGUCCUAGCCCUAAACGAUGGAUACUUGCUGUGACUGGGAUUGAAUCCAGUCGUGGCGAAGCUAACGCAUUAAGUAUCCCGCCUGGGGAGUACGGUCGCAAGGCUG
RNAcentral lists this ribosomal RNA (371 nucleotides) under uncultured bacterium. RNAcentral's name for it is "bacterial SSU rRNA". It matches the Rfam family "Bacterial small subunit ribosomal RNA", at positions 527 to 896 of the family's 1533-position model. The record is from RNAcentral.